GAUACCGUUUCUUCCUCACUCACCAUGUACCAUGCCAGUGACAUCUUAGCUGCUAGAGUGUGGAGCUGGCCUGUGGGAGUCAAGUCACCUUGUAAAUUUUGCCUAUAUAAAUUAACACAUCCUCUGUUAUGUCAUAACAACCAUGUAAGGGAGAGUGUUUUCCUGCUCUGUCUUAGGUAUUGGUGAUGUGACCUCUUCACGCAGGGGAAUCUUGAACAUUUUCAGGUGCACCAGAGGCUCUCUUCUUGGCAGAAUUUGGGAGUUGUUUAUUGCAGUACUGUUGUGCCCUCUG
Leptonychotes weddellii (Weddell seal) is the source of this 292-nucleotide non-coding RNA. Lineage: Eukaryota; Metazoa; Chordata; Mammalia; Carnivora; Phocidae. The record is from RefSeq and is a predicted model, not a curated record.